UAACUUAGGGAGAAGGGGUGCCUACGAGAGUAGGCCGCAGUGAAUAGGCUCAAGCAACUGUUUAUCAAAAACACAGGUCUCUGCUAAAGCGUAAGCUGAUGUAUAGGGGCUGACGCCUGCCCGGUGCUGGAAGGUUAAGGGGAAUAGUUAGCGCAAGCGAAGCUAUGAACUUAAGCCCCAGUAAACGGCGGCCGUAACUAUAACGGUCCUAAGGUAGCGAAAUUCCUUGUCGGGUAAGUUCCGACCCGCACGAAUGGCGUAAUGAUUUGAGCACUGUCUCGGCAAUAAAUCCGGUGAAAUUGUAGUGCAAGUGAAGAUGCUUGCUACCCGCGGUUGGACGGAAAGACCCCGUAGAGCUUUACUGUAGCUUAGCAUUGAAUUUCGGUAUUGUCUGUACAGGAUAGGUGGGAGACUUAGAAGCGAGGGCGUCAGCUUUCGUGGAGUCGUCCUUGGGAUACCACCCUGACAGUACUGGAAUUCUAACUGGAGGCCAUGAAUCUGGUCACAGGACAUUGCUAGGUGGGCAGUUUGACUGGGGCGGUCGCCUCCUAAAAGGUAACGGAGGCGCCCAAAGGUUCCCUCAGCGCGGUCGGAAAUCGCGCGUAGAGUGCAAAGGCAGAAGGGAGCCUGACUGCGACACAUACAGGUGGAGCAGGGACGAAAGUCGGGCUUAGUGAUCCGGGGGUUCUGUAUGGAAGGGCCAUCGCUCAACGGAUAAAAGCUACCUCGGGGAUAACAGGCUGAUCUCCCCCAAGAGUCCACAUCGACGGGGAGGUUUGGCACCUCGAUGUCGGCUC
This 797-nucleotide ribosomal RNA is filed under the name Clostridium botulinum C/D. RNAcentral describes it as "partial 23S ribosomal RNA". It matches the Rfam family "Bacterial large subunit ribosomal RNA", at positions 1731 to 2538 of the family's 2925-position model. Lineage: Bacteria; Bacillati; Bacillota; Clostridia; Eubacteriales; Clostridiaceae. The record is from RNAcentral.